AGAGUUUGAUCAUGGCUCAGGAUGAACGCUGGCGGCAUGCCUAAUACAUGCAAGUCGAACGGAAUCUUAUAUGUUCCUCGUUUCGGAUUUAGUUCCGAGUUGGGGAACAAUAAGAUUUAGUGGCGGACGGGUGAGUAACACGUUGGUACCUACCCUCUAGUGGGGGAAUAACUUCGAGAAAUCGAGGCUAAUACCGCAUAAUAUCUACGGAUUAAAGCAUUUAUGCGCUAGAGGAGGGGCCUGCGUCUGAUUAGCUUGUUGGUGAGGUAAAAGCUCACCAAGGCGACGAUCAGUAGCUGGAUCGAGAGGUUGACCAGCCACACUGGGACUGAGAUACGGCCCAGACUCCUACGGGAGGCAGCAGUAAGGAAUCUUCCACAAUGGGCGAAAGCCUGAUGGAGCAAUGCCGCGUGCAGGAUGACGGCCUUCGGGUUGUAAACUGCUUUUAUAUGGGAAGAUUAUGACGGUACCAUAUGAAUAAGGACCGGCUAACUACGUG
This 499-nucleotide ribosomal RNA is filed under the name uncultured bacterium. Its description in RNAcentral is "partial 16S ribosomal RNA". It matches the Rfam family "Bacterial small subunit ribosomal RNA", at positions 8 to 507 of the family's 1533-position model. The record is from RNAcentral.